CGCGGGCGGGCUGCGCCCUUCCGUGGGAGCCUCGAGGGAAGGGCGGCGGGCUCUGCCGCGCGAUGUGGCGGCCCGCCGUCUACCGGCGUACGAAGUGGCUCCGCGUCAGAUCGCAAAUACGUAUAAAUAGCUGUUAGUGAUACCAGAUAUCAAGUUAAAAUUGUAUCAGAUGCAACAUCUGAUUAGCACAGCCCUGAGCGUGUUCCUUUUGUGUACAGGCAUUCAAGGAAGUGCAGUCUUUACGCUACUGACAUGUGGCACAGCGUCGCAUCUGGACAAGGAACAGUGUUUGUGAUAGAUGUACUUCAUUUGAAGAAGAUUGUAAUCAAAGUUUACUGUAGUACUCUGAGGACUUACCUGUGCAAGGCAUCUGUGGAAGACAAAACAACAAAAGGAAAAGCACAGCAUUCAGGAAGGUCUUACUACAACUGUACAACUGUAGAAGGUGCAGUCAUAUGGACCAUUUGGACAACUUGCCCAUCACUGCAAAGCCGCAUAUUAAACUCAUUAAAAGGAAAACCAGCCUCCACCAGAGUAAGCUUCUCAUGGGAUGAAAUGCUUUUGGCUGCUAUGGUUACUAAUGUGAUGUUCCAUUUACUUCCUUGUUCACUCACCUGCUUUCCCAUUCAAACACCAUACAUGAGUAUCUUCAUAGAUAUUGCUGGAAUAGUGACAAACCUCAUUAGUGCCAGCCAUGCAUAA
RNAcentral lists this long non-coding RNA (702 nucleotides) under Dromaius novaehollandiae (emu). RNAcentral's name for it is "lncRNA (ENSDNVG00000005422.1)". The record is from RNAcentral. Lineage: Eukaryota; Metazoa; Chordata; Aves; Casuariiformes; Dromaiidae.